Molecule: ribosomal RNA, 512 nt
Filed under: Potamonautes calcaratus
Lineage: Eukaryota; Metazoa; Arthropoda; Malacostraca; Decapoda; Potamonautidae
Description: partial 16S ribosomal RNA
Source: RNAcentral
CUGAUAGAAGGAAUAUUUAAGGGCCCGCACGUAUUUUGACUGUGCAAAGGUAGCAUAAUCAUUAGGUUUUUAAUUGGGAUCUUGUAUGAAUGAUUGGACAAGAAAAAUUCUGUCUUUAUAUUAAAAAUUGAAUUUAACUUUUAAGUGAAAAGGCUUAAAUAUACUAGAGGGACCGAUAAGACCCUAUAAAACUUUACAUUGUAAAUUAAGGUUUAUAAAUUUAUAAAAAUAAUAAUUUAUUUUAGUUUAAUUGUUGUGUUGGGGAGAUGGAGGCUAUAAUUUAUAUUAACUGCUUAAGAAAAAACCAAAAAUAUAUGAAAAAUUUUAAGGAUCCUUUUUAAAAAUCAAAAAAUUAAGUUCCUUUAGGGAUACCACCGUUUUUUUUUUUGGAGGUCCUUUUCAAAAAAAAAAAUGGCAACCCCAUUGUGGAAUAAAAAAAUUUUUUUAUGGANGGGGUUUNAAAAAAAGGCUGGUCGNCCNUUAAUUUUUUCAAAGGAACNGGGUCCAACCCC